Molecule: long non-coding RNA, 272 nt
Organism: Sorghum bicolor (sorghum)
Lineage: Eukaryota; Viridiplantae; Streptophyta; Magnoliopsida; Poales; Poaceae
Exons: 2
Source: RefSeq, a predicted model, not a curated record
CGGAUACUAGCGCCGGGUCAGACGUCCGGGCGCUAGCAGUCCCGUUACUACAUCUCACGCUGCUAACCUCACGAGCGCGCCACCCCUGCCCACUCGCACGCAGUGUAGAGCAGUCGAUGCAUGUGUUGAAACACAUGCCAAGAUACGGACAUCUCAAGCGGAUAAGUGAUUGCCGUCGCAGUGUUGUUUGAAGCCAGGCCCAGCCAAGUCAAACACGUGCGCGCACGUGGGGCUAUUAUCUCUCGUCUUUGUCUAGAAUAUAAGAAAAAAAA